RNAcentral lists this ribosomal RNA (440 nucleotides) under uncultured bacterium. RNAcentral's name for it is "partial 16S ribosomal RNA". It matches the Rfam family "Bacterial small subunit ribosomal RNA", at positions 338 to 795 of the family's 1533-position model. The record is from RNAcentral.
CCUACGGGAGGCAGCAGUAGGGAAUCUUUCACAAUGGGCGAAAGCCUGAUGGAGCAACGCCGCGUGCAGGAUGAAGGCCUUCGGGUUGUAAACCGCUUUUAUAAGCGAGAAAUAUGAUGGUAACUUAUGAAUAAGGAUCGGCUAACUCCGUGCCAGCAGCCGCGGUAAUACGGAGGAUCCAAGCGUUAUCCGGAUUUAGUGGGUGUAAAGGGUGCGUAGGCGGUUUGAUAAGUUAGAGGUGAAAUCCCGGUGCUCAACACCGGAACUGCCUCUGAUACUGUUGAACUAGAGUGUAGUUGCGGUAGGCGGAAUGUAUGGUGUAGCGGUGAAAUGCUUAGAGAUCAUACAGAACACCGAUUGCGAAGGCAGCUUACCAAACUAUAUCUGACGUUGAGGCACGAAAGCGUGGGUAGCAAACAGGAUUAGAUACCCUUGUAGUC